RNAcentral lists this non-coding RNA (315 nucleotides) under Enterobacter sp. 638. RNAcentral describes it as "MicL sRNA". It matches the Rfam family "MicL sRNA". From Rfam's summary of the family: mRNA-interfering complementary RNA regulator of Lpp. Transcription factor sigma E dependant sRNA. Lineage: Bacteria; Pseudomonadati; Pseudomonadota; Gammaproteobacteria; Enterobacterales; Enterobacteriaceae. The record is from Rfam by way of RNAcentral.
CAUGGCAGGCGCGGGUGUCCGUGCCAGCAAUCUGGAAAUCUUUAUCAACGCCGGGGUUGAGGAGCUUCACAGCUCUGCAGGCAAAUGGACGCCUUCACCCAUGCGUUAUCGCAAUACAGGAUUGUCAAUGUCGACGGAUGCCGAAGCGGAUGAGUAUUCCCGCUAUGGCGUAGAGGGAGAGUCGGUUGCGGUAAUGAAAUCGAUAAUUGAGCGUCAUCACGUGUAGCAACGUACCGAUUUUUACCGCGCAUCAUCUUGCCCAAUAUGAUGCUUGCUUGUACCAGGCCCCUGCAAUUUCAACAGGGGCCUUUUUUU